This 1426-nucleotide ribosomal RNA is filed under the name Limosilactobacillus fermentum. Its description in RNAcentral is "bacterial SSU rRNA". It matches the Rfam family "Bacterial small subunit ribosomal RNA". Lineage: Bacteria; Bacillati; Bacillota; Bacilli; Lactobacillales; Lactobacillaceae. The record is from RNAcentral.
UGCAGUCGAACGCGUUGGCCCAAUUGAUUGAUGGUGCUUGCACCUGAUUGAUUUUGGUCGCCAACGAGUGGCGGACGGGUGAGUAACACGUAGGUAACCUGCCCAGAAGCGGGGGACAACAUUUGGAAACAGAUGCUAAUACCGCAUAACAGCGUUGUUCGCAUGAACAACGCUUAAAAGAUGGCUUCUCGCUAUCACUUCUGGAUGGACCUGCGGUGCAUUAGCUUGUUGGUGGGGUAACGGCCUACCAAGGCGAUGAUGCAUAGCCGAGUUGAGAGACUGAUCGGCCACAAUGGGACUGAGACACGGCCCAUACUCCUACGGGAGGCAGCAGUAGGGAAUCUUCCACAAUGGGCGCAAGCCUGAUGGAGCAACACCGCGUGAGUGAAGAAGGGUUUCGGCUCGUAAAGCUCUGUUGUUAAAGAAGAACACGUAUGAGAGUAACUGUUCAUACGUUGACGGUAUUUAACCAGAAAGUCACGGCUAACUACGUGCCAGCAGCCGCGGUAAUACGUAGGUGGCAAGCGUUAUCCGGAUUUAUUGGGCGUAAAGAGAGUGCAGGCGGUUUUCUAAGUCUGAUGUGAAAGCCUUCGGCUUAACCGGAGAAGUGCAUCGGAAACUGGAUAACUUGAGUGCAGAAGAGGGUAGUGGAACUCCAUGUGUAGCGGUGGAAUGCGUAGAUAUAUGGAAGAACACCAGUGGCGAAGGCGGCUACCUGGUCUGCAACUGACGCUGAGACUCGAAAGCAUGGGUAGCGAACAGGAUUAGAUACCCUGGUAGUCCAUGCCGUAAACGAUGAGUGCUAGGUGUUGGAGGGUUUCCGCCCUUCAGUGCCGGAGCUAACGCAUUAAGCACUCCGCCUGGGGAGUACGACCGCAAGGUUGAAACUCAAAGGAAUUGACGGGGGCCCGCACAAGCGGUGGAGCAUGUGGUUUAAUUCGAAGCUACGCGAAGAACCUUACCAGGUCUUGACAUCUUGCGCCAACCCUAGAGAUAGGGCGUUUCCUUCGGGAACGCAAAGACAGGUGGUGCAUGGUCGUCGUCAGCUCGUGUCGUGAGAUGUUGGGUUAAGUCCCGCAACGAGCGCAACCCUUGUUACUAGUUGCCAGCAUUAAGUUGGGCACUCUAGUGAGACUGCCGGUGACAAACCGGAGGAAGGUGGGGACGACGUCAGAUCAUCAUGCCCCUUAUGACCUGGGCUACACACGUGCUACAAUGGACGGUACAACGAGUCGCGAACUCGCGAGGGCAAGCAAAUCUCUUAAAACCGUUCUCAGUUCGGACUGCAGGCUGCAACUCGCCUGCACGAAGUCGGAAUCGCUAGUAAUCGCGGAUCAGCAUGCCGCGGUGAAUACGUUCCCGGGCCUUGUACACACCGCCCGUCACACCAUGAGAGUUUGUAACACCCAAAGUCGGUGGGGUAACC